GGCUUUAUAGCCUAGUGGCAUUUUGGUGAUAGGAUAAGACUUUGAUACCUAUAGGUCUUGGGUUCGAUUCCUACAAGGGGGUUU
This 84-nucleotide transfer RNA is filed under the name Helianthus annuus (common sunflower). Its description in RNAcentral is "tRNA-Leu". The record is from RNAcentral. Lineage: Eukaryota; Viridiplantae; Streptophyta; Magnoliopsida; Asterales; Asteraceae.